Long non-coding RNA from Anguilla anguilla (European eel), 751 nucleotides. RefSeq lists it as uncharacterized. The transcript has 4 exons. Lineage: Eukaryota; Metazoa; Chordata; Actinopteri; Anguilliformes; Anguillidae. The record is from RefSeq and is a predicted model, not a curated record.
GCCCUCGCACCAGUAAGUAGUAAUAAACGCCGUUGUGGAGAAUAAGAGAGCAACGAGAUUUAAACCAACGGAGAGCAGCGCUCUGCAUUUUCGAGUUGUCUUCAUUGUCUAAAAGUCCGGAAUUAAACAGUGUAUCUGCAUUGUAACAUGGUCAAACCUCAGCUGUUCUGACUGCCAGGAGAAGAUCAUUCUACCACUUGAAAGGACGAAACAGACAGCAGACGUGGCUCAGAAGUGCUGGCUCAGAGAAUGGGAGGAACCAGACGUGCUGAAGAAUUGAAGUGUCUGGCUGGUCUGUAUGGUCUGAUGAUCUCCUCAAGAGUACCAAACCUGUGCUUGAGGGAGAGAGUGAGGAGGAAGAGCUACAACAAAAUAAUGGAUCACAAGGAUAUAAUGACUGGCUAGAGAGGGUUGGUCCCAAGGGUCAUGUGACUGAAAAUCUGUGGUCUGAAGUGAGUGUACUGCGGAGUGAAAUGGAAAUGGAUAUCUUCACGGCAUCGUGUAAAAACAACUCAUGGAUCGUAACAAAUGGGUAAUCUAUACUUUCCCAAGCAUUUUUUUUUUCUCAUAACAGUUUUUUAAAUUAAUAACUUAAUAUUUUAUACUAAGCUAUUCCAAGAUGGGAAACCUUCCCAUUCUUGUUAUUUAUGGGAACUGCAGUAUGUUCGGUGUGCAAAGAAAAAUACCCUGUUUCUUACUUUAUAGCAUAUAUUUUCAUAAUACAAUUCUAUAGUUCAGUGACUUUAACAUU